GAUUGAACAAAAGAGUUUGAUCCUGGCUCAGAUUGAACGCUGGCGGCAUGCUUUACACAUGCAAGUCGAACGGGGUUGGGAGCUUGCUUCCAAUCUAGUGGCGAACGGGUGAGUAAUACAUCGGAACGUACCGUGUAGUGGGGGAUAACGUAGCGAAAGUUACGCUAAUACCGCAUACGAUCCACGGAUGAAAGCAGGGGACCUUCGGGCCUUGUGCUAUACGAGCGGCCGAUGUCUGAUUAGCUAGUUGGUGAGGUAAAGGCUCACCAAGGCGACGAUCAGUAGCGGGUCUGAGAGGAUGAUCCGCCACACUGGGACUGAGACACGGCCCAGACUCCUACGGGAGGCAGCAGUGGGGAAUUUUGGACAAUGGGCGCAAGCCUGAUCCAGCCAUGCCGCGUGUCUGAAGAAGGCCUCGGUUGUAAGGACUUUGUCGUAGGAGGCAAAACUUACUAGGUUAAUACCUAGGUGUAGGUU
RNAcentral lists this ribosomal RNA (477 nucleotides) under uncultured bacterium. Its description in RNAcentral is "bacterial SSU rRNA". It matches the Rfam family "Bacterial small subunit ribosomal RNA", at positions 1 to 476 of the family's 1533-position model. The record is from RNAcentral.